Molecule: ribosomal RNA, 477 nt
Filed under: uncultured bacterium
Lineage: Bacteria
Description: partial 16S ribosomal RNA
Rfam family: Bacterial small subunit ribosomal RNA
Source: RNAcentral
GACGAACGCUGGCGGCGUGCUUAACACAUGCAAGUCGAACGGUAAGACCCUUCGGGGUACACGAGUGGCGAACGGGUGAGUAACACGUGAGCAAUCUGCCCUUCACUCUGGGAUAACUGCGGGAAACUGUAGCUAAUACCGGAUACGAGGAUCCGAGGCAUCUCGGGUCCUGGAAAGAAUUUCGGUGAAGGAUGAGCUCGCGGCCUAUCAGCUAGUUGGUGAGGUAAUGGCUCACCAAGGCGACGACGGGUAGCCGGCCUGAGAGGGUGACCGGCCACACUGGAACUGAGACACGGUCCAGACUCCUACGGGAGGCAGCAGUGGGGAAUAUUGCACAAUGGGCGAAAGCCUGAUGCAGCAACGCCGCGUGAGGGAUGAAGGCCUUCGGGUUGUAAACCUCUUUUAGCAGGGAAGAAGCGAAAGUGACGGUACCUGCAGAAAAAGCACCGGCUAACUACGUGCCAGCAGCCGCCGUAA